This 1048-nucleotide small RNA is filed under the name uncultured Pelagibacterales bacterium. RNAcentral's name for it is "bacterial SSU rRNA". The stretch from base 1 to 667 matches the Rfam family "Bacterial small subunit ribosomal RNA", at positions 867 to 1533 of the family's 1533-position model. Lineage: Bacteria; Pseudomonadati; Pseudomonadota; Alphaproteobacteria; Candidatus Pelagibacterales. The record is from RNAcentral.
CACCGCCUGGGGAGUACGACCGCAAGGUUAAAACCCAAAUGAAUUGACGGGGACCCGCACAAGUAGUGGAGCAUGUGGUUUAAUUCGAAGAUACGCGCAGAACCUUACCAACACUUGACAUGUCUGUUGCGAAACUAAGAGAUUGGUUUCUUCAUUCAGUUGGACAGAACACAGGUGCUGCAUGGCUGUCGUCAGCUCGUGUCGUGAGAUGUUGGGUUAAGUCCCGCAACGAGCGCAACCCUUACUUUUAGUUGCCAUCAUUUAGUUGGGAACUCUAAAAGAACUGCCAGUGAUAAGCUGGAGGAAGGCGGGGAUGACGUCAAGUCCUCAUGGCCCUUACGUGUUGGGCUACACACGUGCUACAAUGGCACUUACAGUAGGAAGCAAAGAGGCAACUCUUAGCAAAGCUUAAAAAAGUGUCUCAGUUCGGAUUGUACUCUGCAACUCGAGUGCAUGAAGCUGGAAUUACUAGUAAUCGCGGAUCAGCGCGCCGCGGUGAAUACGUUCCCGGGUCUUGUACACACCGCCCGUCACACCAUGGGAGUUGGUUUCACCUUAAGGCAAAUAGCUAACCUUCGGGAGGCAUUUGACCACGGUAAAAUCAGCAACUGGGGUGAAGUCGUAACAAGGUAGCCGUAGGGGAACCUGCGGCUGGAUCACCUCCUUUCUAAGGAAAUCAAAAUAAUUUUUUUUGAUUUAAAAAAUAGGUAGUGUGACCGUCCUCAUUUCUCUUCUUCUAAUGUCUCUGUUGAAAUGCAUAGGGGCCGGUAGCUCAGGUGGUUAGAGCGCACCCCUGAUAAGGGUGAGGUCGGACGUUCGAGUCGUCCUCGGCCCACCAUAUUAAAAAAACGGGGGAUUAGCUCAGCUGGGAGAGCGCCUGAUUUGCAUUCAGGAGGUCAGCGGUUCGAUCCCGCUAUCCUCCACCAAAAUUAAGACAUUUAGCUUUUUUAAAUUGUAAAUAUUAUUAAUAUCUAUAUCCGAUUGUUAGUGGGUAUAAAAACCUGUUGACAAUCAAACAAAAAUUUAAUUUACACAGAAUUUUUUUCUG